This 1402-nucleotide ribosomal RNA is filed under the name uncultured bacterium. RNAcentral describes it as "bacterial SSU rRNA". It matches the Rfam family "Bacterial small subunit ribosomal RNA". The record is from RNAcentral.
GAGUUUGAUCAUGGCUCAGGAUGAACGCUAGCUACAGGCUUAACACAUGCAAGUCGAGGGGCAGCAUAAUUAUUGCUUGCAAUAAUUGAUGGCGACCGGCGCACGGGUGAGUAUCGCGUAUCCAACUUUCCCAUAACUAGGGGAUAAUCCGUCGAAAGGCGGUCUAAUACUCUAUGUUGUCUAUUUAUGGCCUCAUAUUUAGACGAAAGAUUUAUCGGUUAUGGUUAGGGAUGCGUCCGAUUAGGUAGUAGGCGGGGUAACAGCCCACCUAGCCAACGAUCGGUAGGGGUUCUGCGAGGAAGGUCCCCCACAUUGGAACUGAGACACGGUCCAAACUCCUACGGGAGGCAGCAGUGAGGAAUAUUGGUCAAUGGACGAGAGUCUGAACCAGCCAAGUAGCGUGCAGGAUGACGGCCCUAUGGGUUGUAAACUGCUUUUAUGCGGGAAUAAAGUGAUUUACGUGUAUAUCAUUGCAUGUACCGCAUGAAUAAGGACCGGCUAAUUCCGUGCCAGCAGCCGCGGUAAUACGGAAGGUUCGGGCGUUAUCCGGAUUUAUUGGGUUUAAAGGGAGCGUAGGCUGAAUAUUAAGCGUGUUGUGAAAUGUAGUUGCUCAACAUCUGCACUGCAGCGCGAACUGGUAUUCUUGAGUGUGCGCGACGUAGGCGGAAUUCGUGGUGUAGCGGUGAAAUGCUUAGAUAUCACGAAGAACUCCGAUUGCGAAGGCAGCUUACGAGAGCACAACUGACGCUUAAGCUCGAAGGUGCGGGUAUCGAACAGGAUUAGAUACCCUGGUAGUCCGCACAGUAAACGAUGGAUGCCCGCUAUUGGACUUUUAGUUCAGUGGCUAAGCGAAAGCGUUAAGCAUCCCACCUGGGGGAGUACGCCGGCAACGGUGAAACUCAAAGGAAUUGACGGGGGCCCGCACAAGCGGAGGAACAUGUGGUUUAAUUCGAUGAUACGCGAGGAACCUUACCCGGGCUUGAACUGCCGGUGAACGAUACAGAGAUGUUGAGGCCCUUCGGGGCGCCGGUGGAGGUGCUGCAUGGUUGUCGUCAGCUCGUGCCGUGAGGUGUCGGCUUAAGUGCCAUAACGAGCGCAACCCCAUUUUCUAGUUGCCAUCGGGUAAUGCCGGGCACUCUGGAGAUACUGCCACCGUAAGGUGUGAGGAAGGUUGGGAUGACGUCAAAUCAGCACGGCCCUUACGUCCGGGGCUACACACGUGUUACGAAUGGCGCAUACAGAGUGUCGGUUGUAUGUAAAUGCGAAUCCAAUCUUGAAAGUGCGUCUCAGUUCGGACUGGGGUCUGCAAACCCGACCCCACGAAGCUGGAUUCGCUAGUAAUCGCGCAUACAGCCAUGAGCGCGGUAAAUACGUUCCCGGGCCUUGCACACACCGCCCGUCA